AAUGCAGACAAUCAACAAAGAUAAGAUCAUGUGCACAUCCGAAUCCGAAGAUGGCGAUUUGCCAAGUUAUCAAAUGAACCAUGACACCACAAACACAGAGAAUUUCGAUGAUGUUGGAGAGAGUCCGUUUGGUUCAGAAUUCAGCAUGAUACCAGAUUUUACUAAUAUUUUGGAAUUGGCUCCUGCCUAUUCCACAAAAAUGGAUGAUGCGAUGGCUGACAGUAUUCUGCGGGACAUAUUGAACAAAACUGAAUAUUGUCACAACACAGCUAUACAGACCGGCAAUGCUGUUGAUGAGCGACCAUUUUUUCCCCAUUCGACAGGGGGCCGGGCUCAAACAUUCGAAUAUAAAG
This is a long non-coding RNA of Pseudophryne corroboree (corroboree frog), 353 nucleotides long. RefSeq lists it as uncharacterized. NCBI's taxonomy places the organism in Eukaryota, Metazoa, Chordata, Amphibia, Anura, Myobatrachidae. The transcript is spliced from 3 exons. The record is from RefSeq and is a predicted model, not a curated record.